UGGGGCGUCGUCAAGUGGUAAGACUCGGGACUUUGGAUCCCGCAUCGCAGGUUCGAAUCCUGCCGCCCCAGCCA
Molecule: transfer RNA, 74 nt
Filed under: bacterium
Lineage: Bacteria
Also listed under: 1 other name
Description: tRNA-Gln
Rfam family: tRNA
About the family: Transfer RNA (tRNA) molecules are approximately 80 nucleotides in length. Their secondary structure includes four short double-helical elements and three loops (D, anti-codon, and T loops).
Source: RNAcentral